AGCCUCAUCUUCUCUAUGAUUUAGAUAAGUGCAGAUUGCAUAACAUGUCAAAGUUUGCUUUUACUGUAAUUUGACCACCAUGGCAAGGCAUGACAUGAUCAUGAUGGGUUUUCUCUCAUUAGAAGGAAAGAAAAGCUUAAAAUCUUUUAUUAAUGUCCACAGGAUGACACAUUGGCUUGAAACAGUAAUCAAUCAUUCAAGUUUCCAAUUAAUUUUUUCAAUUUGAUUAUUAUUAUUUGCAUUUAAGCACACUUUAGGUGCAAUUGAAGAGUUGUGAUGGAAUUGAAGUGGUGUGUGGAAAAGGGUAGACAUUCGAAAUUGGCUUUAAAAAAAUGUACUUAAAGUGGACUUUCUUCUCUCCUUUACUUUAGUUGAGAUGUGUCACUUCUUUAUCUCAG
Molecule: unclassified non-coding RNA, 398 nt
Filed under: Hevea brasiliensis (rubber tree)
Lineage: Eukaryota; Viridiplantae; Streptophyta; Magnoliopsida; Malpighiales; Euphorbiaceae
Source: RNAcentral